RNAcentral lists this ribosomal RNA (500 nucleotides) under uncultured bacterium. RNAcentral's name for it is "partial 16S ribosomal RNA". It matches the Rfam family "Bacterial small subunit ribosomal RNA", at positions 29 to 523 of the family's 1533-position model. The record is from RNAcentral.
AUUGAACGCUGGCGGAAUGCUUUACACAUGCAAGUCGAACGGCAGCACGGGGGCAACCCUGGUGGCGAGUGGCGAACGGGUGAGUAAUACAUCGGAACGUGCCCAGUCGUGGGGGAUAACGUAGCGAAAGUUACGCUAAUACCGCAUACGAUCUACGGAUGAAAGCGGGGGACCGUAAGGCCUCGCGCGAUUGGAGCGGCCGAUGUCAGAUUAGGUAGUUGGUGAGGUAAAGGCUCACCAAGCCGACGGUCUGUAGCUGGUCUGAGAGGACGACCAGCGACACUAGGACGGAGACAGGGCCCAGACUCCUACGGGAGGCAGCGGUGGGGAAUUUUGGACAAUGGGCGCAAGCCUGAUCCAGCCAUUCCGCGUGCAGGACGAAGGCCUUCGGGUUGUAAACUGCUUUUGUACGGAACGAAAAGGCUCUGGUUAAUACCUGGGGCUCAUGACGGUACCGUAAGAAUAAGCACCGGCUAACUACGUGCCAGCCGCCGCGGUAA